UUUAAUGAACUGUCCGACGGUGCCUACGAGCCUAAGAGGGAAGAGGGGUGUACAAUCCCCCGCGGACCCGCCACUGUAAGCGAGGACGAGAGACCAGGAAGCCACUGGCACUAACGCUGGGAAGGCGGUCUCAAGGUCGAUUCGCAAGCCAGUAUACCUGCCGUUUCGGAUAUCCCACA
This 179-nucleotide non-coding RNA is filed under the name Syntrophotalea carbinolica. The record is from RNAcentral. Lineage: Bacteria; Pseudomonadati; Thermodesulfobacteriota; Desulfuromonadia; Desulfuromonadales; Syntrophotaleaceae.